GCCAGUGUGGCAUAGUGGUUUGAGUGUUGGAUUACCAUUCCAAAGACCAGGGUUCGAUUCCCAACUCAACCA
This is a non-coding RNA of Phrynosoma platyrhinos (Desert horned lizard), 72 nucleotides long. The record is from the annotation of a GenBank genome assembly. NCBI's taxonomy places the organism in Eukaryota, Metazoa, Chordata, Lepidosauria, Squamata, Phrynosomatidae.